AUAAAGCAACAAGUCGACUUUUCAGGCCUCUGGGACAGACUGCUGAAGGGAUGUCAAAAGGAAGAGCAAAUGCAGGACAUGCUGGGGUAUCUAGGACAUCCACUCUGGGUGCCUAUGGGUGGAGAAGUGUUUUAUGGACCAAGAGGAACUAAUAGGAAAAAAAUAACAGGAGUUGUACUUAAGGAAUUCCAACUGGGGAGCCUCAUCUUCACCUGGAUGAUUUAUGUGAUGAGAAGAUGAACUUGAAGCUGAUGCUGUAAUUGAAGAGAUCAAGAGGCUUGAGCAUGGACAGGAGCAAGGAGGAGUAUACUUCUGAGCUCUGAAUCUGCAGGAGAACUUUUUCUUGAUUGAUUAAAGAAGCAAAAAAGAAUAUGAAUUAAAGCAAUCUGUCCAAAUG
Molecule: non-coding RNA, 397 nt
Organism: Urocitellus parryii (Arctic ground squirrel)
Lineage: Eukaryota; Metazoa; Chordata; Mammalia; Rodentia; Sciuridae
Source: RefSeq, a predicted model, not a curated record